This 57-nucleotide small nuclear RNA is filed under the name Sus scrofa (pig). The record is from RNAcentral. Lineage: Eukaryota; Metazoa; Chordata; Mammalia; Artiodactyla; Suidae.
GUGCUUCAGCAGCACAUACACUAAAACCGCAAAGAUACAGAGAAGAUUAGCAUGGCC